RNAcentral lists this long non-coding RNA (1045 nucleotides) under Brassica rapa (field mustard). Its description in RNAcentral is "long non-coding RNA (BRAP_LNC001081)". Lineage: Eukaryota; Viridiplantae; Streptophyta; Magnoliopsida; Brassicales; Brassicaceae. The record is from RNAcentral.
GUUGAGCAUAUUUAAUUUGUAAUUUGUAUAUUUAAUAACACAUUAUUGCGUGUCGUUCUAUGGUUUUAAUAAAUGUGUUGUCAUCUCAUUUUUAUUACUACUAAUAUGAUUUUUUAGUGAUCAAUGAUAAUGUAUUUUAAACGUUAUGUAUUAUAUUUUAUUGUAUAUUUUUUAACUCUUCGUGCUGGCACUUUUUUUAGAAUCAUUUUAAUUAGAUAAUAGGUUUUAAGAUGUAAAUAAAACUGUGUAUGUUGUAAAUUUAGACUUCUUAGUGUAGCUGAGCACUAUCAAUUAUGGAAAUUAUAUUAUGAUUUUAUUUUACAUAAUCUUUUUUUCUGUGUAUUUUUUUUGUUUUAUUUUGUAUUUUUACAAUUUUAUUGCAUUAUUCUUUAACUGCAGAGAAUUGAUAUUUCUAAUUUUUGUUUCAUAUACCUUAAAAGUCUUCGGUUGAUUUUUGUUUGUUUUCUUUCUCCAAUUAUAAUGUAUAGUUCGACCGUUUCUUCUUUUUUUUUGGAUCAAACUACUAAUAUCAUCAGAUAGAAAAGCUUAAACUCUAAGAAUUAAGUGAGUAUUUGUGCUAGAGAAAACUGAUUUAACCAAUAAUAUAGUGAGAUAUUAUAAUAUUAGAAGGUAUGGAAACUCUUCUAUGUUGUCCUACGCUGGACAUAAUUAAGUUGUUGUCAAUUGAUUUUAUAUUUGUGAUAACUGGAAAUGCAUCUUUAUGUCUUCCUUACAUCAUCCUUAAUUGGUUUGCGGUUCGACUAUUUCUAAUAUACUGAGAGUAACAUAAAAUUAGAUGUUGAUUAUCUCCUCCCAAUUAGGAAUGCACAGAAUGAGAGAAAUUCAAGAUGAGACCAGUUUACAAUUUUGUCCUCAUAUCUAUAUAGAGUUAGUUUAUAGAUUACUCUAUUUGUUUCAAAAUGUAAUCAAUUUUAAUUAAAAUAUGUAAUAUUUAAAACUUAUUACUUUAGAAAUCUGUCAUUUAAUAUAUAAAUUUAAUCAAUUACACAGUAAUUUACAUAAUUUAAUUGGCUACACAAUAUCC